UACAGAGGUCUCAAGCGUUGUUCGGAUUCAUUGGGCGUAAAGGGCGCGUAGGCGGCCUGAUAAGUAGGGGGUGAAAUCCUGCGGCUUAACCGCAGGGCUGCCUUCUAAACUGUCAGGCUUGAGCACGGUAGAGGCAGGUGGAAUUCCCGGUGUAGCGGUGGAAUGCGUAGAGAUCGGGAAGAACAUCAGUGGCGAAGGCGGCCUGCUGGGCUGUUGCUGACGCUGAGGCGCGACAGCGUGGGGAGCAAACAGG
RNAcentral lists this ribosomal RNA (253 nucleotides) under uncultured bacterium. Its description in RNAcentral is "partial 16S ribosomal RNA". It matches the Rfam family "Bacterial small subunit ribosomal RNA", at positions 524 to 776 of the family's 1533-position model. The record is from RNAcentral.